UUACCAUCAUUAAUUGGGGACUCUAGCGAGACUGCCAGUGAUAAACUGGAGGAAGUGGGGAUGACGUCAAAUCAUCAUGCCCCUUAUGACCUGGGCUACAAACGUGAUACAAUGGCUGAAACAAAGGGCAGCGAAGCAGUGAUGUGGAGCGAACCCAAAAAAGCAGUCUCAGUUCGGAUUGAAGUCUGCAACUCGACUUCAUGAAGUCGGAAUCGCUAGUAAUCGCGGAUCAGAACGCCGCGGUGAAUACGUUCUCGGGGUUU
This 263-nucleotide ribosomal RNA is filed under the name uncultured Acholeplasma sp. RNAcentral's name for it is "partial 16S ribosomal RNA". It matches the Rfam family "Bacterial small subunit ribosomal RNA", at positions 1115 to 1382 of the family's 1533-position model. Lineage: Bacteria; Bacillati; Mycoplasmatota; Mollicutes; Acholeplasmatales; Acholeplasmataceae. The record is from RNAcentral.